GAGAUUUGGAACUGUGCAUCAGGCGCCUUCCCCUGCAUAGCCUGCCCAUCUACUCAAGAGUGAAACCCGUAUCACCUACCACCUGUCCAUUUCUUCAUGGUACUUAUCCCUGCAUUAUUUUAUCUGACCUGCUAGGAUGCAACCCCCUUUUUUAUUUUGCUGGCAAGUAUAGCCUAGUUGUCUAAACUGCCACAUAGUAUGUACUUCAUAAACAGCUGAAUAAACCAGUAAUUCAUCCA
Molecule: long non-coding RNA, 239 nt
Filed under: Pongo abelii (Sumatran orangutan)
Lineage: Eukaryota; Metazoa; Chordata; Mammalia; Primates; Hominidae
Description: lincRNA
Source: RNAcentral